Ictidomys tridecemlineatus (thirteen-lined ground squirrel) is the source of this 72-nucleotide non-coding RNA. Lineage: Eukaryota; Metazoa; Chordata; Mammalia; Rodentia; Sciuridae. The record is from Rfam.
GGGGUUGUGGCUCAGUGGUAGAGCGUUCACCUAGCACGUGUGAGGCACUGAGUUCGAUCCUCAGCACCACCA